This 445-nucleotide ribosomal RNA is filed under the name uncultured bacterium. RNAcentral describes it as "partial 16S ribosomal RNA". It matches the Rfam family "Bacterial small subunit ribosomal RNA", at positions 354 to 796 of the family's 1533-position model. The record is from RNAcentral.
GUGAGGAAUAUUGGACAAUGGACGCAAGUCUGAUCCAGCCAUGCCGCGUGAAGGAUUAAGGUCCUCUGGAUUGUAAACUUCUUUUAUAAGGGACGAAAAAAGGCUUUUCUAAGUCGUCUGACGGUACCUUAUGAAUAAGCACCGGCUAACUCCGUGCCAGCAGCCGCGGUAAUACGGAGGGUGCAAGCGUUAUCCGGAUUCACUGGGUUUAAAGGGUGCGUAGGCGGGCAGGUAAGUCAGUGGUGAAAUCCUAGAGCUUAACUCUAGAACUGCCAUUGAUACUAUCUGUCUUGAAUAUUGUGGAGGUAAGCGGAAUAUGUCAUGUAGCGGUGAAAUGCUUAGAUAUGACAUAGAACACCUAUUGCGAAGGCAGCUUACUACGCAUAUAUUGACGCUGAGGCACGAAAGCGUGGGGAUCAAACAGGAUUAGAAACCCUAGUAGUCC